Molecule: ribosomal RNA, 2691 nt
Filed under: Triticum aestivum (bread wheat)
Lineage: Eukaryota; Viridiplantae; Streptophyta; Magnoliopsida; Poales; Poaceae
Description: partial small subunit ribosomal RNA
Source: RNAcentral
AUGGAGGCGGCUGUGGUAAGUAGCGUCGUAGGCGCUGUGGUAACCAAGCUCCACAAGAUGAUUGAAGACGACAGCAUGCUGCGGGUCGAUCUUAAGAAAUCCCUCCACGACAUCAAGAAGGAGAUGCAGAUGAUGACCAAGGCCAUCGUCAUGUACGGUGAGUCCAAGGACCACUGGCCAUGGAUCCUCGAGCUGCAGGAGCUGGCGUACGACACGGAGGACUGCCUAGAUAUCUUCGAGGAGAAGGCGGCAUGCGAGGCCGGCGUGCCAUGGUACCGCCGGAAGCUUCACCAGUUAAGAACGGUGAACAUCCGCACUCAGUUUGCCAGAGAGCUCAAGGUUCUCAAGCAACGCGUUCUGGAAGCAUUUGGGCGGAGAGACAGGUACAUCGGCAGCAACACCCUAUCUGCACCGGUGGAGCUGGGCGCCUCCUCAAAAUUCACCUCCUACACCCCGGAGUCUGAGCUCGUGGGCAUCACCAAGCCAAAAGCAGAGCUUCUUGAAUUGCUUGGGGAGGAAGAGAAACCAAGGAGGGUGGUCUCCAUCUUGGGACCUCGCGGCAUCGGGAAGACAACUCUUGCUAGGGUGGUCUAUGAUGACACUUGUGUGAAGAGCCAAUUUCCUUGCCGUGCUUGGGUUGUGGCCUCGCAGCACAGAGGAGACAAAGAGAUUCUGAAGGAGAUACUCCGACAAGUCAAGGUCUCCUCCUCUUCUGAUGCGGAUCUCGGUGAAGAUCUCAAUAUGCACCUGCAGACUAAUACGAGGUACUUAAUUGUAAUUGAUGACAUGCAGACUUCUCUACUGGAUACGAUCGGGUCUUACUUCUCCAGUAAUGGCAGAAUCAUUGUGACCACAAAUAUGCAGUCCAUAGCCAAUAGCUGCAGCACGAAUGGGGGUUAUAUAUACAGAAUGGAAGCUCUUAACAAAGAAGAUUCUAAAGCUUUGCUUUUAAAAAUUGUUCUUGGUGAUGUGACAAAAUCUCCUUCACCUCAUUUUGAGGAAGGUUCAGAAAGCAUCUUGAAGAAAUGUGAAGGCUUACCACUUGGCAUAGUAAACAUUGCAAAUUAUUUGAAAGAACAAGGGCCAGAAAAGAUCACAGUCGCUAGUUGCAAAAAUAUGUGCAGAAAUCUAGGUUCUCGUAUGCAUAGUAAUGAUGCUCUUGCAAGAAUGAAGAAAGUGCUCAUCCAUAGCUAUGACAAUCUUCCUAGCCAUGAUCUAAAAACCUGCUUGCUUUCCGUAAGCAUAUACCCGAAGGAUCAGCCAAUCAAAAGAAAAAGCCUAGUUAGAAGAUGGUUAGCCGAAGGAUUUGCGGUCAAAGUUGUCAGUUGCAAAGACAACGAUGUUGCUUGUGAACAUUUUGAGGGCUUGAUCAACAGGAGUAUCAUUCAACCAGUAGACAUUUGCAACAGUGUUGGUGUGAAGACGUGUCGCCUUCAUGGUAUAAUGCUUGAUUUCAUAGUACACAAGUCAGCCUGUGAGAAUUUCAUUACUCUGAUUCACAAUGAUGAAAUCAUAACCAAUAAAAGUUCUGAUUGUGCUGUCCGUCGACUCUCUCUCCAUAAACCAAAUGAAGAAGGUGGCAAAGCAGUAAUGGGAAUAGAUAUAUCCCAGAUCAGAUCACUAACAAUCUUUGAGCAUACUGGCCAAGCUCUUGUGGAUUUUCGCAAGUGCAAGUUGCUGCGAGUGUUAGAUCUUGAAAACUGCAAGGAGCUUACUGAUUGCGACCUUGACAGCAUAUGCAAAUUACUGCAACUGAAGUAUCUGAGCCUUAGGGGUACUGAUGUCAGUAGGCUUCCGAAGGAAAUAGCGAAGCUGCUCCAUUUGGGAACACUGGACAUACGGGGUACAAGAGUGAACAUGUUGCCCAAAGAAGUUCUGAAUCUACCAGAGUUAACUCACUUGUUUGGAAAAUUUGAGCUGUCUUGUGAACUUGGCAGGGCUGCUACAAGGGGCAAUAGCCAGUCCUUAUUUUUGGGGGAUAGCAAAUUGCAAACUUUGGCUGGAUUUCUGAUAGGUGAGAGUCAGACUUUUCAAAAGAUUUUACUCGGUAUGAAGAAACUGAGGAAGGUUAAAAUACUGGCCGAGAGUACUCCAAAUAGUGUUAUAACUGAGCUUCUAGUCUAUUCACUCAAAAAGAAAUUCAUUGGCGCCAAUCCUCUUGAUUCUCUAUCAGUUGAUUUUGGUGAUCACUCCAUAGACUUCCUGGACUCCCUUGAUGCCUGCUGUGCUCUUACUUCGAUCAAACUGCACGGUAACCUAACGAGAUUGCCUACCUUUAUCACAUCGCUGCAUGGAUUAUUGAAGUUGCAUCUGGUAUCGACGGGCUUAGAUAGCGAGGUUCUAUCAACACUGCAAAAUUUACAUCUAUUGAUUUAUCUGAAGUUAGUUGAGGAUCGCCUUGAAUUUGGCAAUGGAAGCUUCAAUGUUGAAAAGGAGGGAUUCCAAAGCCUUCAACGACUCUGCAUCCAGGCACAAAAACUUCCACAAAUGAGUAUCGCGGAGGGAGCUAUGCAGCAUCUCUACUCUCUUCAGUUGAUUUGUGCAGACAUCAGUGGUGUUCAUGAAGACGAGAUUAAACAUCUCGAGGGCCUCAAGGAAAUAACCCUUGCUCCUACGGUUGGUGCAGGCACAAGGAGAUCAUGGGAAGCAGCAGUGAAGCAGCAUAGAAACAGGCCAGUGAUUAUGGAUUAA